RNAcentral lists this ribosomal RNA (849 nucleotides) under Pythium tracheiphilum. Its description in RNAcentral is "eukaryotic LSU rRNA". The stretch from base 188 to 342 matches the Rfam family "5.8S ribosomal RNA". Lineage: Eukaryota; Oomycota; Peronosporomycetes; Pythiales; Pythiaceae. The record is from RNAcentral.
CCACACCAAAAAACUUUCCACGUGAACCGUUAAAAUUAUGUUCUGUGCCUUCUCUCGGGAGGGCUGAACGAAGGUGGACUGCGAUGCAACUUCGAUUGUGUUGCGGACUGCCGAUGUAUUUUUCAAACCCAUUAACUAAUACUGAUCUAUACUCCUAAAACGAAAGUUUUUGGUUUUAAUCCAUAACAACUUUCAGCAGUGGAUGUCUAGGCUCGCACAUCGAUGAAGAACGCUGCGAACUGCGAUACGUAAUGCGAAUUGCAGAAUUCAGUGAGUCAUCGAAAUUUUGAACGCACAUUGCACUUUCGGGUUAUGCCUGGAAGUAUGCUUGUAUCAGUGUCCGUACAUCAAACUUGCCUUUCUUGUUUUGUGUAGUCAAGACUGGAGAUGGCAGAAUGUGAGGUGUCUCGCUGGCUCCCUCUUUUAUUAGAGGAGAAGAUGCGAGUCYCUUUAAAUGUACGUUCGCUCUUUCUUGUGCCUUGGAUUGAAGUGUGACUUUCGAAYGCGGUGAUCUGUUUGGAUCGCUUUGCUCGAGUGGGCGACUUCGGUUAGGACAUUAAGGAAGUGACCUCUAUUGGCGGUAUGUUAGGCUUCGGYCCGACUUUGCAGCUGACGGGGUGUUAUUUUCUGUUCUUUCCUUGAGGUGUACCUGUCUUGUGUGAGGCAAUGGUCUAGGCAAAUGGUUAUUGUGUAGUAGAAUUUUGCUGCUCCUUGGCGCCGCGUGGUUAUUUUUUCGGAGAUGACUGUGCGGUAGAGAAGGCAACACCGAUUUGGGACAGCUUGUGGAUUUAUUCAUGAGCGCUUUUUAAUUGGACCUGAUAUCAAGUAAGACUACCCGCUGAACUUAAG